UCCGUAGCAACGCCACGGCAGUCUCCGGUGACACAAGUAACACCGGACAAGGGUUGCGCUCGUUGCGGGACUUAACCCAACAUCUCACGACACGAGCUUACGACAGCCAUGCAGCACCGGUGCAGCUCCCUCGAAGGCGGCCGGAUUUCUCCGGCCUGCAGCUGCAUGUCCAACCUAGGUAAGGUUCUUCGCGUAACAUCGAAUUAAGCAACACGCUCCGCUGCUUGUGCGGGCCCCCGUCAAUUCCUUUGAGUUUUAGUCUUGCGACCGUACUCCCCAGGCGGGGCACUUAAUGCGUUAGCGACGGCGCGGAUCUCGUUGGUUGAGACCCACACCUAGUGCCCAACGUUUACGGCGUGGACUAC
This 365-nucleotide unclassified non-coding RNA is filed under the name uncultured Acidimicrobiia bacterium. Its description in RNAcentral is "contains 16S-23S intergenic spacer region". Lineage: Bacteria; Bacillati; Actinomycetota; Acidimicrobiia. The record is from RNAcentral.